RNAcentral lists this unclassified non-coding RNA (174 nucleotides) under Basidiomycota sp. RNAcentral's name for it is "partial contains small subunit ribosomal RNA, internal transcribed spacer 1, and 5.8S ribosomal RNA". The stretch from base 1 to 47 matches the Rfam family "Eukaryotic small subunit ribosomal RNA", at positions 1785 to 1831 of the family's 1831-position model. The record is from RNAcentral. Lineage: Eukaryota; Fungi; Basidiomycota.
AAAGUCAUAACAAGGUUUCCGUAGGUGAACCUGCGGAAGGAUCAUUAUUGAAUUCGGCCUUUUGGCCUUAUACACAUAAUACACUGUGAACCGUGGCUUCGGCCCAAACUUGAAGUCUAGAAUGUAACAUAUCAUAACAAAAUACAACUUUUAACAACGGAUCUCUUGGUUCUG